CCAACCAUAGCUCAGUUCGAAGAGCGCAUGCCUUGGACUUUGUGGCUGUGUCUCUUGCCGGCUGAGCAAAGCAAAAGUGUUUUUGUUUUGUCUGCCUGGUGCCAUCAUGAGGUCCCCAGUUCGAACCUGGGUGGUCGGA
Zopfochytrium polystomum is the source of this 139-nucleotide non-coding RNA. Lineage: Eukaryota; Fungi; Chytridiomycota; Chytridiomycetes; Chytridiales; Chytridiaceae. The record is from the annotation of a GenBank genome assembly.